This 466-nucleotide ribosomal RNA is filed under the name uncultured bacterium. RNAcentral describes it as "partial 16S ribosomal RNA". It matches the Rfam family "Bacterial small subunit ribosomal RNA", at positions 28 to 507 of the family's 1533-position model. The record is from RNAcentral.
GACGAACGCUGGCGGCGUGCUUAACACAUGCAAGUCGAACGGAAAGGCCCUGCUUGCAGGGUACUCGAGUGGCGAACGGGUGAGUAACACGUGGGUGAUCUGCCCUGCACUUCGGGAUAAGCUUGGGAAACUGGGUCUAAUACCGGAUAGGAGCCAUCUUUAGUGUGGUGGUUGGAAAGUUUUUUCGGUGUAGGAUGAGCUCGCGGCCUAUCAGCUUGUUGGUGGGGUAAUGGCCUACCAAGGCGGCGACGGGUAGCCGGCCUGAGAGGGUGUACGGCCACAUUGGGACUGUGAUACGGCCCAGACUCCUACGGGAGGCAGCAGUGGGGAAUAUUGCACAAUGGGCGCAAGCCUGAUGCAGCGACGCCGCGUGGGGGAUGAAGGCCUUCGGGUUGUAAACUCCUUUCGCUAGGGACGAAGCUUUUUUGUGACGGUACCUAGAUAAGAAGCACCGGCUAACUACGUG